UCCAAAGCUGUGACAUCAUCGUGCAACUCGAUGCCCAAUGAAGUCAAGACCGACCUGUUGAGGUCCCAACUACCUCUCAUCUGAAUCAUAAAUAUUAAUUAGUUCACUUAUAUUGGGAUAAAAGCUUCAUAGAUAACCAACUAACAAUUUUCGAAUCCUUUUGCUGUCAAAACACUAUGGCGUGCAAGAAGCUUAUUGAGCAACAAAAACACAAACUAGAACAUUCAAGUGAGAGUAGUGAGAAUAUGGGAUUCUAUCAACCAUAUAACCGACCAACUCAUGAGCCUCCUUAUGACUUUGAUAGACAAAAAAAUGUAUUCAUCAUAUUUAAUUACAGAUUGUUCUACUAUUUUAAACAAACAUGCAAAUUGUAUUUUUGUUUGUUAAUAUUUCUAACUGCAAAGUAAUUAAUUCCAAAAGUAAGUCCAAUUAUGUUAUAAGAUCCUCUGUUAUUUACAAAGAAACAAAAAUUUAAUAGAUUUGUCAUUGAUUUCAUAGGGUUGUAAAGUUAACCAGUGCCACAAUAAUAUAUACAAAUCUAGAUAGAGCCAAAACUCGAAAACUUCUUGACGGGUAUGGAACACUAUCUUUCACUCUUAUUUAUCAACUAAUGAAUCAUGACGCAUGUUUAUUUUUUAGUCAUAUCAGUUAUAAUGGAGCCAUAUCUGAAUUAUUUACGUCUCCAAACUUCUUUAGAUUGCUAACUUUGAGCUUUUGGGUAAAACUUUUAGGAUUUCACUUUAACGACCAUAGCUAUAAUAGAUCUGUUACUAGAAAAUAUCCAAUGGUCAUGUGGUGAUUGUCGCAAACUAAGUACAAAGGAGACUAUCAAGUAUAUUUACUGCAACGGUUGCGGUUAUAUACAGAAAUUAUAACAUCCCAGUAAGCAUAUUCUACUAAUUUGAAUAUGAAAUUUCCUACUCCCUCUGAUCCAUUUUAAUUGUCACUGUACAAAGUUGUACUAAGUCAUCGACAAUUAAUAUGAAUCGAAGGGAGAAUUAUAUUUACUCUGCACUAUGAUAUGGAAAAGUUGCUGAACUCAUCUGAUGGAAAAUCUGAAGAAGCGCUAGAGGGUACAUAAUAAAUAUGUUGAAAGUAAGGCAAACCAUUUAUGUUAUUGAGAUAGAGAAAUAAUACUUCAAAUCAGUCGAUACAAUUAGGGCUAUCAGAUAUGUACUUUUGUGAGUUUCAUGUUCUUGGUAACCACUCUUUUUCCUACAUACUUUGAGUUGAAGACGACCAUGAGAAAAGCUCCAGUACUAAGGGCAUCGCCUAUAAUAGGUGCGAUUCUUUGCACAUCAAUUAAGACACAUGAACUAAUUUCGUCUAAAAAAUGUAACCUUUCUUGCUUUGUUUUAAUACACAUAUGAGUAAUAUAACUUGCAAAUAUGGUAACAACAAAUAAACAUAACAUACUUUUAUCCAACUACACAGGGGAAACAUACCUAUGAAGAAUAAGCCGAUGUGGAGGGAUGUAGGAAUGAUGCAAAGUUGUAGCACACAUUACAUAGGUGGAAGCCGAAAGCAGUAGCAACUAGGAAGCCCACAACUUGCCUUCGCGUUUGACUCCCUACAAAUGCAAAGAGAUCAAUCAGUUCUAAUGCAGAUUACCAUUUUCUGACACCGCUAUCAUGUAUAUACAUGUUAACAGGCGCAUAGAAGACAAUCAGCAUAACAAAGAUUGGCUUAUACAUAGUAGAUGGAUACAAUGGAUUUACCUUUUAAUAUACAAAACUUCAUAUAAUUACUACGGAUAUGUUCAAGAGACAAUAAUCAAAAUUGGACAAAAUAUCAAAUAAAAAAUAUAAGUCUCAUUCCCUAAAAAAAUGUAAUACACAUCAAUGACAAUUAACAUUACUCUAUAAUUUAUAUCCUAUAAAUGAUACUCAGUUACAUGAAUAACAUCAGAAUGUACGAGGUUAUCAUCUAAAUUGUAAUUUAACAAAAUAACUAAGUAACUCAACGUUACCUCUGAAUCACUUAACAUUUAUAGCAACUAAUAAAUUACAUAUAUACUGCUAGGAGAGAGGAUGGGGAUGGGAGAGUAGUAACAUAUUGAUAUACUUAUCCCUACCCCAAGGUAAAAUUUCUCGGACGUGUUGAUGGGUUCACCAGAAUAAAGAUAAUUAGCUUAAAAAA
RNAcentral lists this long non-coding RNA (2139 nucleotides) under Triticum aestivum (bread wheat). Its description in RNAcentral is "long non-coding RNA (TAES_LNC008706)". Lineage: Eukaryota; Viridiplantae; Streptophyta; Magnoliopsida; Poales; Poaceae. The record is from RNAcentral.